RNAcentral lists this ribosomal RNA (253 nucleotides) under uncultured bacterium. Its description in RNAcentral is "partial 16S ribosomal RNA". It matches the Rfam family "Bacterial small subunit ribosomal RNA", at positions 524 to 776 of the family's 1533-position model. The record is from RNAcentral.
UACGUAGGUGGCAAGCGUUGUCCGGAUUUAUUGGGCGUAAAGGGUGCGCAGGCGGUUUUUCAAGUCAGAUGUGAAAUAUCCCGGCUUAACUGGGAGGGGCCAUUUGAAACUGAAAGACUAGAGUGCAGGAGAGGAUAGCGGAAUUCCCGGUGUAGUGGUGAAAUGCGUAGAUAUCGGGAGGAACACCAGUGGCGAAGGCGGCUAUCUGGCCUGCAACUGACGCUGAGGCACGAAGGCUAGGGGAGCGAACAGG